CCUACGGGGGGCUGCAGUAAGGAAUAUUGGUCAAUGGAGGAAACUCUGAACCAGCCAUCCCGCGUGAAGGAUGAAGGGGCUCUGCCUUGUAAACUUCUUUUGUCUGGGGCGAAAAAGCUCGAUUUAUCGAGAACUGACGGUACCAGAAGAAUAAGCACCGGCUAACUCCGUGCCAGCAGCCGCGGUAAUACGGAGGGUGCCAGCGUUAUCCGGAUUCACUGGGUCGAAGGCGUCUGAGUACGGCUUAGUAGAAAGGCGGUGGCGUAACCAUGGAAUUGCCAUUGUUACUGCAGAGCUUGAAUGAGGUUGAGGUUGGCGGAAUGUGACAUGUAGCGGUGAAAUGCUUAGAUAUGUCAUGGAACACCGAUUGCGAAGGCAGCUGACUGGACCUAUAUUGACGCUGAGGCACGAAAGCGUGGGGAGCGAACAGGAGUAGAUACCCCGGUAGUC
RNAcentral lists this ribosomal RNA (450 nucleotides) under uncultured bacterium. RNAcentral's name for it is "partial 16S ribosomal RNA". It matches the Rfam family "Bacterial small subunit ribosomal RNA", at positions 338 to 795 of the family's 1533-position model. The record is from RNAcentral.